Molecule: ribosomal RNA, 23 nt
Filed under: Pachyrhizus erosus (jicama)
Lineage: Eukaryota; Viridiplantae; Streptophyta; Magnoliopsida; Fabales; Fabaceae
Description: partial large subunit ribosomal RNA
Source: RNAcentral
ACGAGACCUCAGGUCAGGCGGGG